This 468-nucleotide ribosomal RNA is filed under the name uncultured bacterium. RNAcentral's name for it is "partial 16S ribosomal RNA". It matches the Rfam family "Bacterial small subunit ribosomal RNA", at positions 28 to 507 of the family's 1533-position model. The record is from RNAcentral.
GACGAACGCUGGCGGCGUGCUUAACACAUGCAAGUCGAACGGAAAGGCCCUGCUUUUGUGGGGUGCUCGAGUGUCGAACGGGUGAGUAACACGUGAGUAACCUGCCCUUGACUUUGGGAUAACUUCAGGAAACUGGGGCUAAUACCGGAUAGGAGCUCCUGCUGCAUGGUGGGGGUUGGAAAGUUUCGGCGGUUGGGGAUGGACUCGAGGCUUAUCAGCUUGUUGGUGGGGUAGUGGCUUACCAAGGCUUUGACGAGUAGCAGGCCUGAGAGGGUGACCGGACACAUUGGGACUGAGAUACGGCCCGGACUCCUACGGGAGGCAGGAGUGAGGAAUAUUGCACAAUGGGCGGCAGCCGGAUGCAACAACGACGCGUGAGGGAUGAAGGGCUUCGGGUUGUAAACCGCUUUCGCCUGUGACGAAGCGUGAGUGACGGUAAUGGGUAAAGAAGCACCGGCUAACUACGUG